UCCACUUGGGGAAGCGUUGAUAUAUAGCCUUUACUUGGACACUUGGGCUAUAUGGAGCUAUUAGUGUAACCGGCCCUCUUAUUA
This is a regulatory RNA element of Bacillus sp. B-jedd, 84 nucleotides long. It matches the Rfam family "Cyclic di-GMP-II riboswitch aptamer". The record is from Rfam. Lineage: Bacteria; Bacillati; Bacillota; Bacilli; Caryophanales; Bacillaceae.